GGCGUGAUGGCCGAGUGGUCUAAGGCGAUACUUUUAAGCAGUAUUGGGGAGACCCGCGCGAGUUCGAACCUCGCUCACGUCA
Molecule: non-coding RNA, 82 nt
Organism: Xylaria sp. FL1042
Lineage: Eukaryota; Fungi; Ascomycota; Sordariomycetes; Xylariales; Xylariaceae
Source: the annotation of a GenBank genome assembly